Molecule: long non-coding RNA, 2988 nt
Organism: Homo sapiens (human)
Lineage: Eukaryota; Metazoa; Chordata; Mammalia; Primates; Hominidae
Gene: GMDS-DT
Product: GMDS divergent transcript
Source: Ensembl
AGAGGAAGGAGGCCGCGGCUUCGCGUCCCGCCUCUCGCCUGGCUGGCCGUGGGGGGCCUGGACGCAGUGGCCUCCCGAAUCUCCCAGGACCCUAAUAUCGCCCGAGGAUGCUGGGAGGAACGCUGAGCCGACCUCUCCGUUAGGCUGAAGAUUGCACAAACCAUGCUAAUGGCCAGCAUGGAUGGAGGGAGCGUGUGAGAUGUGUGGGGCAGCGUGCUGCAUCUCAGCCAACUCCAGGAGCCAGUUGAUGUGAUGGACUACCUUAAUUGAUUUUUGAAUGUUGAGCCAGCCUUAUGCAUGUGGGAUAAACCCCUGUUGAUCAUGGUAUGUAUUUCAUUUUAUACAGUGUCAGCUUUAGUUUGCUGGAUUUUUAAAAUAUGAAAUCUCUUUUAUAAUUUCAUCAGGAUAUUGGAAUAAAAAAGAUGUAGAUGCAUAUAUUCAGUCAUUCCUUUUGAACCAGUUAUAUUUCUAAAAGCUUAACAAAAGUCUGGAGAAAUCUCUUUUAUGUUCUGAGGAGUUAAAAAUUAUAUUACAAGGAAGCAACAAGAGAAAAGACUUAUCCCCAAUUGUUCCUGGUGCCUAUUAUUGCUUAGUAAACCACCCCAAAACUUGGUGAUUUAAACAACAAUGGUCAUUUAUGUUGCCUGUUAAUUGCAAUCUGGGCAGGGCUCUGCAGGGAAGGCUCAUCUCUGCCUCACAGGGACAUUCAGUGGCUGGAAGGUCCACCUCCAGGCUAGCUAACACACAGUUGGCAAGUCGGUACUCACUGCCUCUGUGUGGGAGCUCAGCCACAGCUCAGAGCUAGGCAUUCUCACAGCACAAUGGCUGGUUCCCAAGGCCAAGUAUCCUGAGAGAGAGCUAGGUAGAUGUUGUAUUGCCUUCAGCUGUACUUUGUUAGUCAAGGCAGUUGCAAAGUCAUGUGCAGGCUGAAGGGGAGGGAACAGAGACUCCAUGUGAGGACACAAGAAGAAGGCAGCCAUCUGCAAGCCAGAAAGUAAGGCCUCACCAGAAACCAAAUUUUCCAACACCUUAAUCUUGGACCUCUUGCCUUCAGAACUGUGAGAAAAUAAAUCCUGUUGUUCAAGCCAUGCAGCCUGUGGUACAUAGUCAUAGCAGCCAGAACACAUUAAGACAAACCCCGUUAGGCCUUGAAUGCUAAUGUCAGGCAAAGACCUAGCAUAUUAAGGCCGUUUUUAGACAGAGAGCUUUUUUGACUACCACAGUGGUAAAUGGAGCAUGCCAGUCAUGUAAAGAGGCCCAUAGGGUAGAAAUCCCUGCCAUUCUAGUAUUCUUACGACAAGCUGACUAUAUGCAGGCAGAACAAAGGGACAGAUGCCCCACUAGUGAUUAAGGAAACAAUGUGCCUUGGGGAGACGGGAAGGCUCUAGAAUGGUAUGAGCACCUUCAGAUGGAUAGGCUUGGAUUCUAGAAAUCCUUAUGUGGAUGGGUAGAGCCCAAAUGGCCAGCACCUCCACUCAUGCAUGAGACCAGUGCAUAAGAGAUACACAUCAUAGAGUUUUCAUCUGCUACUGGGGUCUGGCUCUUACACCUGUAUGAACAUGUGUAGAGCCUAGGUAGGACCAUCCUAUGAAUGAAUGUUCAGGAGUCACCCAUCCCCAUGAAUGGAAACUAGGACUGAUGGAACUAGGUAUUUCCUGAACACUCAAAGUGGAUCAACCUAAUAGUGAACAAAACCACAUCUGACAAGGAGAAGGCAUAGGGACUACCUAGUGUUAGGAAACAGUCCCCGAUUUCUGACUCAUCCUGCUAUAAGCCAACUUCUUUCCCACAAGACAGUACAGGACACAGCCUACAGGAGGAAAUAGAAGUCCUGAUCUUUCUCUUUCAGUAUCCUGUGCUGUCAGAGGUCACUUUAGCUAGGCUUAAAAACCAGAAGGAAAAGAAUUUCAGGAUGGCAAAGGGAUGGGCAUGGUAGUGGUAAGACGAUGAGGUGUGAGGGGCAGAGGAAUAAGAAAUUUAAUGGUUUUUAUUCAGACUUUAUUAUUUGGGCAUGAGCCAUUGGUGAUUAACUCAAUCUCCAGCCCCUUUGCCCUCCCUGAAGGUUGGGGAGGCAGGAAGUCCAUCCCUCUGAUCAUGCCUUGGUCUCCAUUCCCCAAACCCCAUCCUGAAGCUAUCUAGGGCCCCCAAUACCGAGUCAUUUCAUUAGAGAAGGACAUUCAUCACUCCAGAAAUUCCAAGGGUCUUAGAAGCUCUUGUGUUAGAAACUGGGGACUAAGACCAAAUAUUAUAACAAAAAGAUGUUCCCAGCAUUCCUAUCAUCCAGGCAGUUACAAAGGUUUUUGGAACUCUGUGUCAGGAAUCAGGAGCAGAGACCAGGUAUCUAUUUCUUGUCAUGUCCCACAAGAGGAUGCAGAAAAUCUGGGAUUGUAACUGUUGAUGGUUAUGUAAUCUCAGGAAACUUCUUUGUCCUCCAUUGCUUCACAAUUAAAUGGGGCAGAUAUGCCUCCCCUCUCUCACUCUAUUUCCUGAGCACACAUUCCAGAAUCUCAGCAAACUCUAGAGACAAAGACACAGCCCUGGCCCCCAGGGAGCAAGGUCUUAGGGUGCUGGAGAAAAUUAUCGUUUUUGUUCCCUUCCAAUAGUGAAAUCUAUGAUCAUUAAAAAAAUACAGUAUACCUCCUAAUUAAGCCAAGUUUCCCUUCUCAUUUUAGUUAUCAGGAAUUUAAAUCAAUCAAGGCAUAAAUUGGACCAAACAUUAUUACCACUGUUCAUUGAUAUCCUUAACUAAGAACGUUACUGAAACUUUCCCUUAAUACUUAUUAUAUAUCUUCCAAGUCAAUCCUGAGAAAAUCCAUAAAGCUCAUCUCAGGGCGAAAGCUUGUACAUUUAAGUAACAGGAUUCCAAAUAAACAAUAUUGCUGAGUUAACUAAAAAUACAUUAACUAAAAAUAAAUCUCAUCUAAAAUAUUAAAAAUGGAUAUUUUUAAAAUGCUUUUUAUUUUUUAAGUGUUCCUGGUUAAAUGUGGC